Long non-coding RNA from Cavia porcellus (domestic guinea pig), 5116 nucleotides. RefSeq lists it as uncharacterized. The record is from RefSeq and is a predicted model, not a curated record. The transcript has 3 exons. NCBI's taxonomy places the organism in Eukaryota, Metazoa, Chordata, Mammalia, Rodentia, Caviidae.
UGUUUGAGAAUUUGUAUUGACCAGAACUCUGCUGGCUCGUUCUCUGCUUUAGAGAGUAAAACUUUUAUUAUUUUUAAAGAGCAUAUUUAGAAACAUAUUGUUUCUUAAUUUGUAUAAGAAAUAUCCAUUGUGUGUGGUCCAGAUAGAUGUACAUGUACUGGAUAUGUAUAGUUUUGAAUAUUGCUUUUCAUUCCUUUGAGUUCUGUAAUUUCUGGAGAACCAUGGGUGAUUCCGUGGAGGUUUUUACUGCUGAAGCCUGCUGCUUUCCCAGAGGGUCUGAUAAGAGCAUGUGUUACUCCAGGGCCUCCAAAGGCAGAAGCUAAAAAUGAGGCCUAUGAUGAGAAUUGAAGACUUCUGAUGCUGACUUUGAAUCUCUGUCCCUCUUCCUUUCCCUCAUCUCCUUCCUCAUUAAUUUUUCAGCCAACCUUGUUCCCCAUCCAGCAAGCAAACCUUCUGAGGUGCUGGCUGUUAAUAAACAGUUCAACACAGUAGCGUGGUCCCGUGCUAGCACAUGUCUCCUGACCUGGGGUAUAUUAUUUCUUUUUUGUGAAAAGGAUUUCUCUGUGCUUUUAAGAGUACACAGGACUCCCGCGGUGUGUUCAUAGUGUGACUAUGUAGGUUCGUGUGUGUGUAAAUGUGUCUGAGCCAUGUAUGUGUGUGUGUCUGUCUUCUAAAGCUUCUGGGGAGAGGUUAACGCUGAUCCCCACAGGCAGCCUUUUUCACUUCUAUGGGCAGCUGAGGGGGUCUCUGGAAGCAAUCUUGGGGCAGUUGUGAGAAUGCACCUCACAAGGCUCCAGCUAUGGACAGCAAAGCUGAGUCUGGCUUUUGGGAUCUGUGACCCAUCUUCUUGUUUGCAUCAAAUUCACUCUUUCCAGCCAGUGACUAUUGCAUAGAAACACUAAAGCAGACCUGCUCCUGAUUCCCUCUUUGAACAGUUGGCUGCAACUCAAGGACUUCCUGACGAAGGACAAGUAUUUAUAGACUGCAGGACCACCCGGGUGUUCAGUCCUUCUUUUCUUGAUGGAGAAUAUGGCUUGCAUUGCAGAUUGACCGCUCUCCUAUCCAUACCAGCUCCCCACAUACUGUCUCUCGCAAACUAUUCCCUUGUUCAAUCCUUGCAUGUUUAUCUUAUUUUUCCAUCUGCUUCUUGGAGGCUCCAGAGUAACAUGUGCUCUUUUCAGUCCCCUCUUGGAAAGCAACAAGCUUCAACAGUAGCAAGGCCUUCCACUCAUGGUGCUCAAACUUACAGAACUCAGGAUGAGAAAGGAUAAAAAGCAAUAUUCAAAACUACACAUAUCCAGCGCAUGUACAUCUAUCUGGGCCACAUACAAUAGGUAGUUCUUAUAUAAGUCUUUUAAUUUAGGAAACAAUUGGUCAUAAUUCUAAUCUGAGGGCUGUUAUUGUUAAAAAUAGUACUUAUUUCAUAUGUGCUAUUGACAAACAUUGUGUAAAGAAUAUCACAUACAUUAUUUCAUUUAAUUUUCCAUUUAGAGAGGAGGAAAUUAUGUAGAGUGAUAGUAUUCUACACACUAUUUAUCCCCUCAGACUUUUUUUCAAAUUGAUUUAUUAUCACCUGUUGACUCAAUUGCUUAAACAUUUCUGGAAUAACCUUGGGAGACAGUUGAAAAAUUUGCUCUGGGUCACACAGUGAGUAACAUCAGAGGAAGGAUUCAAACUCAAGAUUAUUCACCUCCAAAGAAUUCUGUUCCUUAGAACAAUAGUGAGCACUUAGCAAGAGUUAAAUGCUCAAAGAACAAAUAUCAAUGAAGUGCACCAUUAGAUGGUAGCUGUUAGACAGCAGACACAAACUAUGAGUCCCAAGCAACCUCGAGAAACCAAGCUUUCUCUUGGGAGAAAAGUACCUAUCUUAGAAGCCACAAAAAACGUUUAGAAUAUUGAACAAACACUGUGUUUCUCUAAAGCAAUAAGAACAACAACAAAGCCAGAACACUGUAGUAACGUUACAUGCAAUGUAACUGCUUAGGUCAAGCUGAUAACAUUUAAGCUUUCUUUGGGUGUAGGAAUCAUAGUAUCAUGUUUUCCUUAUUUCUUUACGACCACAGAAAUUCCAAGUUGCAAAAUGAGCUAACUGUAAAAAACAAUCAUUCACAUCUUUGAAAAUUAUUCACUCUUUUCCGUCUGUUUUCUCACUGCGAAAUAUUUUUGAGCCAUGUUUUUGCUACCCCCUAUUUAUAGCUUUCCAGUUUUGGCAGGUAUGGGAAAGUUUAUAAGUGGUUUGUUUUCUUUGCUAUAUCCACUGUUGAUUUAAGUCUCUUUUGCCCCUGAAACAAUUGGAAGCACUUUCAAGGAAGGCAAAGUCUGUUGACGGCUGAUAACAUUGUGAAGCCCAAAUCCAGAUUUCUUUGGAAGACUCAGGUCACUUAGAAAAUCUUAGUAGCUUUAUGGUUCAAAUAACUGUAAUUAUUUCUUUCUCUUCUUUUGCUUGUAUGCAUGUGUGAGUUCAUAGGCGUGUAGGUGUGUAUAUGUGCACGCUGACUGUUGUGGAGGAAGUUUGUCCUUGACAUAGUUAGGAAAAGCAUCCCUUGGACACAUUCCAACUCCUUGGUAACUCUGAGUUUGACUCUCAGUUUGACAGUUGGAUAAAAAAGCAUGAAGCAGGCGGGCCAGUCACAUCUGAACUUUGGCAUGUGAAGACCUUCGUUAUGGACCUAAGUUUAACAGCUGGGUUUUAACCAAGUUUUAUGUACUAACCAGAAACAAACAUUAGUGGUUCUUUGUUUUGGAGAGAUACCUGGAAUUUCUGGGUUUUGUUUCAUAAUGACUGAACUAAAUAAAUACAAUUGAAAGCCACUAGAAUCAUAGGCAUUUUCCCCCCCUCCCAUCUGGCAUGUUUUUAUGGGUGGUAUUUUUUUAACUGAAUUUUUCCACACUUUUCCUCCCUAUAAUUUGUGGGCCUUGAGAAAAGUCAUAGUUUACCCUGUAAAUGUGGAGGGCAGCUUUGUUUGGGGUCAUCCCACUUUUUCUUGUUGCCUGGUUUUUGUCUGCGGUCUAUUGGGGUGAGGACCACAAACAAUAAAGAACCCCAACAGAGAGAGAUUGAUUUCCAACUUCAAAUAUGUUGGGAAAGACUGCCGUGUUUCAGAAAUUAAAUGGCUCCUGGGAAGUAAACCUCCUUGGGGACAGGAGCUGAACUUGAGGCUGACUGCCUGUUUUCUGAUCUGCAGAGGCUGGAAAAGGAUAGAGCCAUAUACCAGCUUACAAGGGAGCCCUUGCAAAGCUCCAUCCAUCUUCGGGGUGGGGGACGCAGAAAAGCCAGUUCACAGAAACCUGGGAGAACAGCACUUCCCCCAGUGGAUCAUUUUGACUUUGGGGAAGAGCCAAAAGUUGUAUGGUGCCAGAUUCAGUGAAUAAUGUGGACACGACAACAUUCAUCAUGUUUUCUUGUAUCAUACCAGGUUGUUAUACAGAUAAAAUGAAUUUGCCAAGUGUCUAGAAUACAACAGAUGAAUGUGAAUUUGCCAAGUGUUUAGAAUACAACAGAUGCCUCAUAAAUGUGAGUAUCUUUUCUCUCAGUAGCUGAUCUCUUGAUCAUGCGACCUGUGGAGGCAGGGCUCCUUGCUUACAAUGAAGGUACCCGCUUGUUAUUUCAUACCCUGUUGUGAUUCCUUUAAAAUUCUCAACAUUGUCUGGGGAGGGGCUCAUAUUUUUACUUUGUGCUGGGCCUUCUGAUUUAUACAGUGAUUGUCCUUUUCCUUUUUCUUUCUUUUCCCCCCUUUUCAAACUUCUUGGGUCAAACAGUUGUUCUCUUGGUUGUCUGGAGCAGUCAUUUAUCCUCAGGGUGUUCUGGCUCUCUGCGCGAUCCUCAUGGCUGAGCUCCAUUUCCUUUGACCUUGACCAAGACCUCACACGUCUCAUGUAUAAUACUGCAUUGUCACCUUGCUCUGGUUGUGGAAUUGGUCAAGAAACACCUCUGAAUGCUUAAACCUUUUCUUAAAAGAAUAUGAUCAUCCAUAACUUCCAGAAGACUCAGCCUAGAGAUAGUAUAGGUCUCAUCAGCAGCCAAAUUGUCAACUCCAGGAAAUUAGACCACUGUAGGUUGUAUGUGCUACCCCUCAGUCUUCUGCACUAGGGCAAUAUUAAGUGUUGUGAGGCCUAAACUUAGAUAAUUUGAAAGCCCUCUUUAGAAAAGAAGUACAUUAAAGAUAUACCACUAACUGAAAUUUUAAUAGAAUGUGUUAACAUAGCUUACACAUAGGAAGAAGUUCUAACAUUUCACUAGAAUUAUCAGCACUGUUGUGUACAAUAUUCAUUAGGUUAUGAGCUGACCCAUCUAACGGAUAUCCAAUAAAUGUUCAUUAACUUCAUUAAAUUAUAGCUGGCAAUUGUGAAUGUUUUAUCUAAGUAUUUAUGUCCUUAACUAAAUGACAAUUAUUUUGAUAGUAUAGAUGGACAUAAAAUUGUUAAUUAUUUAAAUCUUCCAUAGUAUUAAUGUUAAGAUGGAUAGACAAUAGAUAGACAUAUAGAUAGAUGAUAGAUGGGUAGAUACAGGAUAUGUUGCAGAAUACACUUUGUUGCAUAAUGUAUUUCCAUAGUUAUGAAACACGUUCCCUUUCCAUCUAUCUCUCUAUCUAUAGGUUUGUUAUGUAACAUGUCCCCUUGCUGUGUGUCGGGACAUAAAACCAAGUGCUUCAUCUUAUUAGGAGUUAUCAAACUGGUAAUUUGCCUUCUUACUAACUUCUAAGUAGAAUGUAUUUUAAAUAUUACCUGGCGAGAUCAUCAAUUUACCGAUGAAGAAGUAGUCCAAAGAAAUUAAUUAGUUUUUAAAAAGCAGUAUUAGAACUGGGUUAGAAUUUAGGCUGCUCAAAUUGGGAUUCAAUAAUUAUUUUACUACAGAAUGUUGAGUGUAGGUCUCAGGGAUAGAAAAAGGAAGAAAUAGACAUUUUGUGUGAUUUACUUGUGUUACAAACAAUUUAAGCCUUCUUAACAUUAAAAAAUAGUUUUGUUUCAUUGGUUUCAUCAGAAAAAGCAGGUGAAUUAAUUUGCCUUCUAAAGAAUCCAUUGUAUUGAAACAUGGAGGAAGUAUACAGAAUUAGAGUGGUUAUAUCUCAUAAAGAUAAUGUUUAUGAUUUAUGGUACUGUCUUAUUACUUUUUAGA